RNAcentral lists this ribosomal RNA (394 nucleotides) under uncultured bacterium. Its description in RNAcentral is "partial 16S ribosomal RNA". It matches the Rfam family "Bacterial small subunit ribosomal RNA", at positions 523 to 918 of the family's 1533-position model. The record is from RNAcentral.
AUACGUAGGGGGCUAGCGUUAUCCGGAACUACUGGGCGUAAAGGGUGCGUAGGUGGUUUCUUAAGUCAGAAGUGAAAGGCUACGGCUCAACCGUAGUAAGCUUUUGAAACUAAGAGACUUGAGUGCAGGAGAGGAGAGUAGAAUUCCUAGUGUAGCGGUGAAAUGCGUAGAUAUUAGGAGGAAUACCAGUUGCGAAGGCGGCUCGCUGGACUGUAACUGACACUGAGGCACGAAAGCGUGGGGAGCAAACAGGAUUAGAUACCCUGGUAGUCCACGCCGUAAACGAUGAGUACUAGCUGUCGGGGGUUACCCCCCUCGGUGGCGCAGCUAACGCAUUAAGUACUCCGCCUGGGGAGUACGGCCGCAAGGCUGAAACUCAAAUGAAUUGACGGGG